AUUAACGCUAGCGGCAGGCAUAAUACAUGCAAGUUGAACGGCAGCACAGGUAGCAAUACUGGGUGGCGAGUGGCGCACGGGUGCGUAACACGUAUGCAACCUACCCUAUACAGGCGAAUAACCUUUAGAAAUGAGGGCUAAUACGCCGUAGUAUUACAGAUGGGCAUCUAUUUGUAAUUAAAGAUUUAUCGGUAUAGGAUGGGCAUGCGUCCCAUUAGUUAGUUGGUAAGGUAACGGCUU
This 240-nucleotide ribosomal RNA is filed under the name uncultured bacterium. RNAcentral's name for it is "partial 16S ribosomal RNA". It matches the Rfam family "Bacterial small subunit ribosomal RNA", at positions 29 to 266 of the family's 1533-position model. The record is from RNAcentral.